AUGGUAGCUCACACCUGUAAUCCUAGCCCUCAGGAGGGAGAGCAGGAGAUUUGCUACAAGUUCUAGGUCUGUCUGGGCCUCGCAAUGAGACUGUUUCAAACAAAAUGAUACUUUUAGCCCACUUUUGGCCCAUCCAACCGUAGUUGACUUUUCCAGGGAACAGGGAAGUGGUUGUGGUAAUAACUUACACUAGUAAAUAUCACAGUAAAGGCACAUGAGCAGGUGGCAUUGAGCAACCAAAAUCGACACUUGGAAUUCCAUCUCAGCUCUCAUUCUUAAGCAGUAGGAGCCUCUUACCCUAGAGCAAGAAUUAUAGCUUUGUACCGUUUGAGUAAUGUCAAGUAUUUGGUCAGUCAUUGCUCAGUACAUUAAUUACGUGAAAUGAUGCUUUUCACUAAUAGGUGCAAUCAUCGCUUUCCACAUCACAAAGCAGAAUCUAAGUUGAUUGCCAAACCAUACAAUCCAGAAGCUCUGAGGCUCUCCUGGGCCUGCUGUUGAAUUUCUAAAGAGUUUGCCUUGGAAGAAUCAGACAGCAGGAUGGACUUAGGAGGACACCUAGUGGCAGAGCAGUGGCUGCCCUGGAACUCUCAAUGUAGACCAGGCUAGCCUGGAACUAACAGAGAUCGCCUGCCUCUGACUCCUGGAUACUGGUAUUAAAGGUAUUCAACACC
RNAcentral lists this long non-coding RNA (671 nucleotides) under Mus spretus (western wild mouse). Its description in RNAcentral is "lncRNA (ENSMSPG00010042038.1)". The record is from RNAcentral. Lineage: Eukaryota; Metazoa; Chordata; Mammalia; Rodentia; Muridae.